GAAAUGCGAUAAGUAAUGCGAAUUGCAGAAUUCAGCGAGUCAUCGAAUCUUUGAACGCACAUUGCGCCCCUUGGCAUUCCUUGGGGCACACCCGUCCGAGCGCCGUUUAGACCAUCAGGCCCUGCCUGGCGUUGGGGAGGCCGGCCCGGCCCCCUCGAAACACUUUGGCGCCACGGGCCUGGCUACGAUGCAGCGAAAUCCGCGUCGAGGCCGGCCCAAGGCCGCCUGGCCCAUUUAGAACGUCAUGGCCUCGGAUCGGGUGGGGACACCCGCUGAACUUAA
RNAcentral lists this unclassified non-coding RNA (282 nucleotides) under uncultured fungus. RNAcentral's name for it is "sequence contains ITS1". The stretch from base 1 to 105 matches the Rfam family "5.8S ribosomal RNA", at positions 50 to 154 of the family's 154-position model. Lineage: Eukaryota; Fungi. The record is from RNAcentral.